ACUUUUUGGAGCCAUACCUAGUUUUCCAUACUUUUGCACUUUUUCUAGAUAUUUUUACAGCAUUGUUCUUAGAAGCAUGGAGCAGGAUGUUCUAAGACAUGGUAUGUAUUUACUCUUGCAUGAGGACUAUAUGAUGGAAAUCAUCAGUUCAAUCAAUAUUAAUUAUGUCUAAAACUGAAGCGAAAUACAUGUUAGCAUCUGAAGAUGUAAAGGAAGCAUUAUGACUUACAGAGUUUAUGAAAGAGUUAGGUAUUGAACAAGGUGGAGUUCAAUUGCAUUGUGAUAGUCAAAGUGAUUUCUAUUUGGUAAACAUUCAAGUGUAUCAUGCUAGGAACAAACAUAUUGAUGUGAGGUUCCAUAAGAUCAGGGAGUUGGUGGUGUCUUGACAAAUAUUACUGCAGAAGGUUAUCACGUCAGAGAAUGCAGCGGAUAUGUUGACCAAGCCAGACACAAGUGACAAGUUCAAACAUCGUUUGAACUUGUUACAUGUUUCUCAGUAUUAAGUAGGAACUACACACACCCAAUUUCCAAGAUAUGACAUUAUGCAAUUAAUCUUCAUAUGAGUUUGAUAUUCGCGAAAGUGUAGAUUAUUGAGUUUGGAUCAUAGGCAAUGUUAAAUUGACUUUGAUAACAAAUUUUAGCCCAAUUGUUUGUUAGGGGCGACUGAGGUGUGGGAGUGCAGGGGGCGAAGCUCCCCUGGAUACGAUUUAAGGAUACUAUUUUAAUUUGGAUCACUAGUAUCCACUGGAACCCUAUUAGUGUGUAAUUCAUAGAAACCAAUAAAACGAAAUUAUUGUGACCAAAUCUUUUGUGUGUUUCUCUCUACUUUAAUCUAUAUUCACAUAAUUUAUCUAACAACUUUCAAUAUCUUAUAUAACUCAUAAUCUUUAAUUCUUAAUAAGGAGAGAGAAGCUUAAAGUACAUCAACACAUCAAACAUGAGAUAGAAACUUUGCCCUCUCUCUAGUUUUUCCUGUCUAAAUUAGGGCUUCUUACAAACCUUAAGGUUAAUUUCCUUUUCUUCAAUUUUCUAUCCAUUUUCUGGGUUUCGAGAGUUUCAAUUUUCGUUCAUAAUUAUGGAGUGGCAUAAGGUUCGCAAGAAAGAAGGAGGUAGAUGGUACUUCAACGUGAAAUAUGACAUCCAUACUUGAAGGGAAAGAGUGAAGGGAGUGCAAGAUAAUCACAUUACAUCCAUUUACUUUUCGGAAUUUUCUGAAAAGUGCAGGGCGUCAGACAUAUUUCAGCUGUUCAGAAACAAUAUUGGAGAUUUAGUCGAAGUUUUCAUUCAUUCAAAGAGAAACAAUAUUGGAGAUUUUUAGACGUUGAGGAUGCAAGGAUUUUACCUGUCUGUUUGGAUAAUCUAUUUAUCAAUUACAAGAAAAUUCACGCCAAUGUUCAAAGGUUUAUAAGGAAGAAAGAAGGUCACAAGGCACCAAACGAUAACAUCAUGAAUAUAGUAUCGCUAAACAUAAGAGGAGGUGGAAACAAAGCAAAGCAUAGAAGAAUAUACCAAUUUUUAAUCACAUGUAAAGUUGAUUUCUUACAGAAUCUAAACUUUCAACAGUAGAUGAUUCUGUAGAAAGUAGUUUCUGGAUUAUCAUGUAAUUGUUUUGGAUAUAAUUUAAAAUUAUAAUGUAAAUCUCUUACCACUCACUCAACUUCUAAUGGCGACAAUAACAUUGAAAAUAAAUGCAUUUUGUUACAUGAGAGUUGCGACAAUAAUUGCGUGGACAAUCAGAAUCCUGCUCACAAACUGCUCUCAUUAAUGCUGUUGUACAAAAACAAAACGACAUAGUUAAUAUAAAAAUGGUGAAAGAUAUUGUAAAAAGAUAAACAAUCAAGUCCAAAGGAUAUGAAAAUGGUUUACCAGUAACGUUAAUUAUAAUAAGAAAUAUGUAAACAAAGAGGAUCAUUAGAUAAACAAAUUUUAGUGUUUCCACCAUAUUCUUUUCCUAAUUUGGCAACAGGUAGAAAUUUGGUUUAUUUGUGUCUAUUAAGAAAAUUGCAGUCAUAGGUAAUUGAUUUUUAUCGUUUGACCUUUUAGCUCUCUCAAUGGGUGAGGACAGUAUUCCGUUACUUUUGUUUCAUUUUUUUACCCUUUUAUG
RNAcentral lists this long non-coding RNA (2104 nucleotides) under Lathyrus oleraceus (garden pea). RNAcentral describes it as "Pisum sativum (pea) long non-coding RNA (PSAT_LNC032355)". Lineage: Eukaryota; Viridiplantae; Streptophyta; Magnoliopsida; Fabales; Fabaceae. The record is from RNAcentral.